UCAACUUGAGAGUUUGAUCCUGGCUCAGAACGAACGCUGGCGGCAGGCCUAACACAUGCAAGUCGAGCGGAGGACUUCGGUCCUUAGCGGCGGACGGGUGAGUAACGCGUGGGAACGUGCCCAGAGGUACGGAAUAGCCCAGGGAAACUUGGAGUAAUACCGUAUACGCCCUACGGGGGAAAGAUUUAUCGCCUUUGGAUCGGCCCGCGUUGGAUUAGGUAGUUGGUGGGGUAAUGGCCUACCAAGCCGACGAUCCAUAGCUGGUUUGAGAGGAUGAUCAGCCACACUGGGACUG
This 295-nucleotide ribosomal RNA is filed under the name Alphaproteobacteria bacterium. RNAcentral's name for it is "partial 16S ribosomal RNA". It matches the Rfam family "Bacterial small subunit ribosomal RNA", at positions 1 to 321 of the family's 1533-position model. Lineage: Bacteria; Pseudomonadati; Pseudomonadota; Alphaproteobacteria. The record is from RNAcentral.